Molecule: ribosomal RNA, 1359 nt
Filed under: uncultured bacterium
Lineage: Bacteria
Description: bacterial SSU rRNA
Rfam family: Bacterial small subunit ribosomal RNA
Source: RNAcentral
AUUGAACGCUGGCGGCAGGCUUAACACAUGCAAGUCGAGCGGGGGAAGGUAGCUUGCUACCGGACCUAGCGGCGGACGGGUGAGUAAUGCUUAGGAAUCUGCCUAUUAGUGGGGGACAACAUCUCGAAAGGGAUGCUAAUACCGCAUACGUCCUACGGGAGAAAGCAGGGGAUCUUCGGACCUUGCGCUAAUAGAUGAGCCUAAGUCGGAUUAGCUAGUUGGUGGGGUAAAGGCCUACCAAGGCGACGAUCUGUAGCGGGUCUGAGAGGAUGAUCCGCCACACUGGGACUGAGACACGGCCCAGACUCCUACGGGAGGCAGCAGUGGGGAAUAUUGGACAAUGGGGGGAACCCUGAUCCAGCCAUGCCGCGUGUGUGAAGAAGGCCUUAUGGUUGUAAAGCACUUUAAGCGAGGAGGAGGCUACUUUAGAUAAUACCUAGAGAUAGUGGACGUUACUCGCAGAAUAAGCACCGGCUAACUCUGUGCCAGCAGCCGCGGUAAUACAGAGGGUGCAAGCGUUAAUCGGAUUUACUGGGCGUAAAGCGCGCGUAGGCGGCUAAUUAAGUCAAAUGUGAAAUCCCCGAGCUUAACUUGGGAAUUGCAUUCGAUACUGGUUAGCUAGAGUGUGGGAGAGGAUGGUAGAAUUCCAGGUGUAGCGGUGAAAUGCGUAGAGAUCUGGAGGAAUACCGAUGGCGAAGGCAGCCAUCUGGCCUAACACUGACGCUGAGGUGCGAAAGCAUGGGGAGCAAACAGGAUUAGAUACCCUGGUAGUCCAUGCCGUAAACGAUGUCUACUAGCCGUUGGGGCCUUUGAGGCUUUAGUGGCGCAGCUAACGCGAUAAGUAGACCGCCUGGGGAGUACGGUCGCAAGACUAAAACUCAAAUGAAUUGACGGGGGCCCGCACAAGCGGUGGAGCAUGUGGUUUAAUUCGAUGCAACGUGAAGAACCUUACCUGGCCUUGACAUAGUAAGAACUUUCCAGAGAUGGAUUGGUGCCUUCGGGAACUUACAUACAGGUGCUGCAUGGCUGUCGUCAGCUCGUGUCGUGAGAUGUUGGGUUAAGUCCCGCAACGAGCGCAACCCUUUUCCUUAUUUGCCAGCGAGUAAUGUCGGGAACUUUAAGGAUACUGCCAGUGACAAACUGGAGGAAGGCGGGGACGACGUCAAGUCAUCAUGGCCCUUACGGCCAGGGCUACACACGUGCUACAAUGGUCGGUACAAAGGGUUGCUGCGCAGCGAUGUAAUGCUAAUCUCAAAAAGCCGAUCGUAGUCCGGAUUGGAGUCUGCAACUCGACUCCAUGAAGUCGGAAUCGCUAGUAAUCGCGGAUCAGAAUCACCGCGGUGAGUACCCUUCCCGGGC